CGUUGCUUCCUCCUUCUUCACUGUUCACCAAAUCGCAGCCCUCUGCUCAGCCCUCUGCGUUGCUUCCUCCUUCAUCACUCAUCAGCCUCCUCUGCGUUGCUUCUUCCUUGUUGUUCGGUGCAGCUGAAAUGAAAACGCAACGGCGAGGCAAGUGACUUUUUCGAAGAGAAGAAGAGGAUUAAUCAAAAAGGCUGAAGAACUCUCAGUUUUGUGUGAUGCUGAUGUUGCUCUCAUCAUUUUCUCUUCUACUGGCAAGCUCUUUGAAUACUCUAACUUAAGGGGAUAGUAUUAUAAGCAUAGAGACUAGUGAUUAGUAUUUAAACUUGAGCCAACAAUUUAAAGAUGGCAAAUGAAGGUACCUCUCAACCACAAUGUCCACUCAUUUCUCAAGGAAGUACACAUCAUCCAACUCUAAAUGGACAAGAAAGUUCACAUCAACCAACUCCAAAUGGACAAGAAAGUUCACAUCAACCAACUCCAAAUGAAAGUGCUAACCCGUCAAUUGUUGCUCCUACUCCCACAACAACCGAUACUAUGGAGGUUGAUAGUGCAGCAACACAAAACCGUCCAAAAAGGCGUAGAAGUGAAGUUUGGGAUCAUUUUGAAAAGAUCAUUGUUGAUGGAAAAGUUAAGGCUAGAUGUAAUUAUUGCAAGAAAGAUCUUGGUGGAUCAUCAAAUGACGGGACAUCACACUUAAAAGGACAUUUAUUGAUUUGUCCUCACAAGAAGAUUUUGGAAGGUAAAACGGAUAAAGGACAGACAUUUCUUACUGCUAAAACUUUGCAAGGUAAACAAGAGUUGGGUACUUGGAGUUAUAAUGUUGAAAAUGUUAGGAAAGAGCUUGCACAUGCAAUUAUUUUGCAUGAAUAUCCACUUUCGAU
Long non-coding RNA from Glycine soja, 881 nucleotides. RefSeq lists it as uncharacterized. The record is from RefSeq and is a predicted model, not a curated record. The transcript has 4 exons. Lineage: Eukaryota; Viridiplantae; Streptophyta; Magnoliopsida; Fabales; Fabaceae.